Molecule: ribosomal RNA, 465 nt
Filed under: uncultured bacterium
Lineage: Bacteria
Description: partial 16S ribosomal RNA
Rfam family: Bacterial small subunit ribosomal RNA
Source: RNAcentral
CCUACGGGUGGCAGCAGUAGGGAAUCUUCCACAAUGGGCGCAAGCCUGAUGGAGCAACACCGCGUGAGUGACGAAGGGUUUCGGCUCUUAAAGCUCUUUUGUUGGAGAAGAACGUGCGUGAGAUUAACUGUUCACGCAGUGACGGUAUCCAACCAGAAAGUCACGGCUAACGCCGUUCCAGCAGCCGCGGUAAUACGUAGGUGGGAAGCGUUACUCGGAUUUACUGGGCGUAAAGCGAUCGCAGGCGGUUGCUUAGGUUUGAUGUGAAAGCCUGCGGCUUAACCGAAGAAGUGCAUCGGAAACCGGGCAAGUUGAGUGCAGAAGAGGACAGUGGAACUCCAUGUGUAGCGGUGGAAUGCGUAGAUAUAUGGAAGAACACCAGUGGCGAAGGCGGCUGUCUGGUCUGCAACUGACGCUGAGGCUCGAAAGCAUGGGUAGCGAACAGGAUUAGAUACCCGAGUAGUC